GAGUUUGAUCCUGGCUCAGGAUGAACGCUGGCGGCGUGCCUAAUACAUGCAAGUCGAGCGAACGGACGAGAAGCUUGCUUCUCUGAUGUUAGCGGCGGACGGGUGAGUAACACGUGGAUAACCUACCUAUAAGACUGGGAUAACUUCGGGAAACCGGAGCUAAUACCGGAUAAUAUUUUGAACCGCAUGGUUCAAAAGUGAAAGACGGUCUUGCUGUCACUUAUAGAUGGAUCCGCGCUGCAUUAGCUAGUUGGUAAGGUAACGGCUUACCAAGGCAACGAUGCAUAGCCGACCUGAGAGGGUGAUCGGCCACACUGGAACUGAGACACGGUCCAGACUCCUACGGGAGGCAGCAGUAGGGAAUCUUCCGCAAUGGGCGAAAGCCUGACGGAGCAACGCCGCGUGAGUGAUGAAGGUCUUCGGAUCGUAAAACUCUGUUAUUAGGGAAGAACAUAUGUGUAAGUAACUGUGCACAUC
RNAcentral lists this ribosomal RNA (477 nucleotides) under uncultured microorganism. Its description in RNAcentral is "bacterial SSU rRNA". It matches the Rfam family "Bacterial small subunit ribosomal RNA", at positions 9 to 468 of the family's 1533-position model. The record is from RNAcentral.